This 750-nucleotide long non-coding RNA is filed under the name Ananas comosus (pineapple). RNAcentral's name for it is "long non-coding RNA (ACOM_LNC025422)". Lineage: Eukaryota; Viridiplantae; Streptophyta; Magnoliopsida; Poales; Bromeliaceae. The record is from RNAcentral.
AAAUAAUUUAGCAUUUAGUAAUAUUCUAAUUUAGAAAAGUUAGAUUUUUGAUUAUUCAACAUCUAUAUCUAUAUCUAUACUAUAUAUAAAAGUAUAUAAGAAUUUCGACAGAUGGAAUCCAAAAAGGAAUAAACAAAUAUUUUAGUUUGUUAAAAAAUAUUCAAAUAAAAAUGAAUGAUUAUGAUUAAUAUGUUAAAAAAUAGCAUUCUUAUCUAUCAAUAUGUCAAAUCUUACGAAUGGUUAUAAUUAAUUUGUUAAAAUAUAUUUCAAAUAAAAAUUAUUUGUUGUGAUCAAUCUAUUAAAAGAAAGUAUUCCUAUCAAUAGAUUUUACAUUAAAAUUAAAAAUAUGAGUUUAAAUCAUGAAUUGAAUUUAAUUUUGGAUAUCAAAUUUGUAUUAACAAUUAAAAAAUUUUAAUUAUAGUGGAUCAAAAUUAAAUUUUAAAAAAUUAAAUUUAUAAAUUUUCGAUAUCAAAUUUGAAUUAACAAUUAAAAUAUUUAAUUACAAUGAACUAAAAUUAAAUUUCAAAGUAAAUGUGAAUUAAAUUUUGACGCUUUUAGUUUAAAUAAUAAACAAAAAUUUUAAAUUUAUCAAGAAUUCAAAAAAUAUAUAAAAAUAUUCAAUGUAUAUAUUGAAAAAAUUAUCUAAUAAAAUAUAAUAUAUUCAUUUAUAAAAUAUAAUUUUUAUUAUAAAUUUUUGAAUAAAUAUGAUGUAAAAAUUUAUAUUUACAAUAAAUUAAAAUAAUUUUAAAU